Molecule: ribosomal RNA, 468 nt
Filed under: uncultured bacterium
Lineage: Bacteria
Description: bacterial SSU rRNA
Rfam family: Bacterial small subunit ribosomal RNA
Source: RNAcentral
ACAACGCUGGCGGCGUGCUUAACACAUGCAAGUCGAACGGAAAGGCCCUGCUUUUGUGGGGUGCUCGAGUGGCGAACGGGUGAGUAACACGUGAGUAACCUGCCCUUGACUUUGGGGAUAACUUCAGGAAAACUGGGGCUAAUACCGGAUAGGAGCUCCUGCUGCAUGGUGGGGGUUGGAAAGUUUCGGCGGUUGGGGAUGGACUCGCGGCUUAUCAGCUUGUUGGUGGGGUAGUGGCUUACCAAGGCUUUGACGGGUAGCCGGCCUGAGAGGGUGACCGGCCACAUUGGGACUGAGAUACGGCCCAGACUCCUACGGGAGGCAGCAGUGGGGAAUAUUGCACAAUGGGCGGAAGCCUGAUGCAGCAACGCCGCGUGCGGGAUGACGGCCUUCGGGUUGUAAACCGCUUUCGCCUGUGACGAAGCGUGAGUGACGGUAAUGGGUAAAGAAGCACCGGCUAACUACGUG